UACGUAGGGGGCGAGCGUUGUCCGGAUUUAUUGGGCGUAAAGAGCUCGUAGGCGGCUUGGCAAGUCGGGUGUGAAACCUCCAGGCUCAACCUGGAGACGCCACUCGAUACUGCUAUGGCUAGAGUCCGGUAGGGGACCACGGAAUUCCUGGUGUAGCGGUGAAAUGCGCAGAUAUCAGGAGGAACACCGGUGGCGAAGGCGGUGGUCUGGGCCGGCACUGACGCUGAGGAGCGAAAGCGUGGGUAGCGAACAGG
RNAcentral lists this ribosomal RNA (254 nucleotides) under uncultured bacterium. Its description in RNAcentral is "partial 16S ribosomal RNA". It matches the Rfam family "Bacterial small subunit ribosomal RNA", at positions 524 to 776 of the family's 1533-position model. The record is from RNAcentral.